This 482-nucleotide ribosomal RNA is filed under the name uncultured bacterium. RNAcentral's name for it is "bacterial SSU rRNA". It matches the Rfam family "Bacterial small subunit ribosomal RNA", at positions 29 to 506 of the family's 1533-position model. The record is from RNAcentral.
UUGAACGCUGGCGGCAUGCCUUACACAUGCAAGUCGAACGGCAGCACGGGGGCGACCCUGGUGGCGAGUGGCGAACGGGUGAGUAACGCAUCGGAACGUACCCGGAAGUGGGGGAUAACGUAGCGAAAGUUACGCUAAUACCGCAUAUUCUGUGAGCAGGAAAGAGGGGGAUCGCAAGACCUCUCGCUUCCGGAGCGGCCGAUGUCGGAUUAGCUAGUUGGCGGGGUAAAGGCCCACCAAGGCGACGAUCCGUAGCGGGUCUGAGAGGAUGAUCCGCCACACUGGGACUGAGACACGGCCCAGACUCCUACGGGAGGCAGCAGUGGGGAAUUUUGGACAAUGGGGGCAACCCUGAUCCAGCCAUGCCGCGUGAGUGAAGAAGGCCUUCGGGUUGUAAAGCUCUUUCGGCCGGAACGAAAUCGGCAGUGUGAAUAACGCUGCUGGAUGACGGUACUGGAAGAAGAAGCACCGGCUAACUACGU